RNAcentral lists this unclassified non-coding RNA (376 nucleotides) under uncultured Bacteroidales bacterium. RNAcentral's name for it is "contains 16S-23S intergenic spacer region". The record is from RNAcentral. Lineage: Bacteria; Pseudomonadati; Bacteroidota; Bacteroidia; Bacteroidales.
UCACAUCUUGCGAUGGCAGUCCCGCCAGAGUGCCCGGCAUCACCCGAUGGCAACUGACAGCAAGGGUUGCGCUCGUUAUGGCACUUAAGCCGACACCUCACGGCACGAGCUGACGACAACCAUGCAGCACCUCGACAAAUUGUCCGAAGACUGAAACUAUCUCUAGUAACAUUCAACUUGCCGUUCGAGCCUGGGUAAGGUUCCUCGCGUAUCAUCGAAUUAAACCACAUGUUCCUCCGCUUGUGCGGGCCCCCGUCAAUUCCUUUGAGUUUCACCGUUGCCGGCGUACUCCCCAGGUGGGAUACUUAACGCUUUCGCUAAGCCACCGACAUUAUAUCGCCGGCAGCGAGUAUCCAUCGUUUACUGUGUGGACUAC